CAAUAGCGUAUAUUUAAGUUGUUGCAGUUAAAAAGCUCGUAGUCGGAUUUUGGCUGAGAACGAUCGGUCCGCCGUUAGGUGUGCACUGAUUGGUCUCAGCUUCCUGGUGAGGAGGUGUGCUUCACGGCCACUUAGUCACCGUGGUUACUUUGAAAAAAUUAGAGUGUUCAAAGCGGGCUUACGCUUGAAUAUAUUAGCAUGGAAUAACACCAUAGGACUCCUGUCCUAUCUCGUUGGUCACGGGACGGGAGUAAUGAUUAAGAGGAACAGUUGGGGGCAUUCGUAUUUCAUUGUCAGAGGUGAAAUUCUUGGAUUUAUGAAAGACGAACUUCUGCGAAAGCAUUUGCCAAGGAUGUUUUCAUUGA
Molecule: ribosomal RNA, 365 nt
Filed under: uncultured eukaryote
Lineage: Eukaryota
Description: partial 18S ribosomal RNA
Rfam family: Eukaryotic small subunit ribosomal RNA
Source: RNAcentral